UACGGAGGAGGCAAGCGUUAUCCGGAAUUAUUGGGCGUAAAGCGUCCGUAGGUGGUCAUGUAAGUCGGUCGUCAAAGCCAGAGGCUCAACCUCUGUCAGGCGGUGGAAACUGCAAGACUAGAGAGAGGUAGGGGUAGAGGGAAUUCCCAGUGUAGCGGUGAAAUGCGUAGAGAUUGGGAAGAACAUCGGUGGCGAAAGAGCUCUACUGGACCUUUUCUGACAUUGAUGGACGAAAGCUAGGGGGGCGAAUGGG
This 253-nucleotide ribosomal RNA is filed under the name uncultured bacterium. RNAcentral's name for it is "partial 16S ribosomal RNA". It matches the Rfam family "Bacterial small subunit ribosomal RNA", at positions 524 to 776 of the family's 1533-position model. The record is from RNAcentral.